Salvelinus sp. IW2-2015 is the source of this 1401-nucleotide long non-coding RNA. RefSeq lists it as uncharacterized. NCBI's taxonomy places the organism in Eukaryota, Metazoa, Chordata, Actinopteri, Salmoniformes, Salmonidae. The record is from RefSeq and is a predicted model, not a curated record. The transcript is spliced from 2 exons.
CAGCUCGGUCUGACAAUGGAGCACUUGGGUUUAGAUUUUUUACAAUUGCCGAAAGGAUAAUGGGAAAUGUAUGAAUACUGACUUCCAAAAACGGUAAAGUAAACCACUUUGUGGUCGUCUAUCUGGUAAUCUACACUGGGGAAAUGAGUUCCUGAGCUGCUGCUGAACACUGGAGGAGCUGACGAAAGGAGACUUAAGAGAUUUAAAUGGCACUGGAAUAAUGGUGUGCUGGAUUACUUUAGUCGUAUCCCAAAGGCCCAGUUGGAGCAUGCUGAGAGAGAAGACACUGGGUAUCAUGAUGCAGCUCUAUGGACUUGAGAAUGCUGUGAGAAUCUCGCUGGAGAUCCUUAGGAAGAUCAACCUCAACAUUCUUGCUGAGGGACUACAAAUUGACAACAGGUAAUCAGCAAUUACAGAGGAGACAGAUAAACCUCAAUCAGAGGAGAACACUGCUCCUGAACCUCUUCCACCAGAGGAGACAAAGCCUCCAAAACCGUCUCUCCCAGAGGAGGAUCUCCUGUCCUCUGUGCCAUGACAUCUUCAGGGAUCCUGUCAUCCUGCUAUGUAGUCACAGCGUCUGUAAAGCCUGUCUGCAAGAACAGAGAAGGAAGGAAAUGAAUGUUCUGUUUGCAGGAGAAGAGAUCCAAUAAGUCCAACAAGCGAUCCAAAAAGUCCAACAGGAUCAGAGUUGCUCUGCUGUCUGCACAGUGAGAAACUUAAGCUCUUCUGUCUGGAGGAUAAACAGCCAGCGUGUGUGGUGUGUCGGAUUUUUUUUAAAACACACCAAACACAACUUCAGACCCAUAGAUGAAGCUGCACAGGACCACAAGGUAUGAUUAGUUAAAGAUGUGAAGUUAAACACAGAAAUGGUUCAUAUAAUAUCCCCACGCUCCUCUUUCACCGAUAACAUCCCCACAUUCCAGGAGGAACUCCAGUCUGCCCUGAAGCCCUUAUAGGAGACGCUGGGUUAUUUAAAUAUUAUUAAACAAACCUGUGAUCAAACAGCAGAACACAUCAAAGUAAGGAUAGUGAGUGAUGAGAAAAUACUGGGAUCUCUACAUACUGUAGAUGCCUGGGAUUAACUGAUAACUACCAUUCCUCUCACUGUCUCUAGAGCCAGGCCCAGACCACAGAGAGACAGAUUAGGGAGGCAUUUGACAAUCUUCACCAGCUUCUACAAGAUAAGGAGUAUGCCAGGAUAGCUGCGCUGAGGGAGGAAGAGGAGCAGAAGAGUUAGUUGAUGAAACAGAAGAUUGAGAAGAUCAGCAGAGAUAUCAUCACUUUCAGACACACUCAGAGCCAUAGAGGAUGAGCCGAAAUCUGAAGACAUAUCUUUCUUGCAAGUCAGAACUAAUAUGUUUAUUGACUGAUCAAUAAAUAUUGAUUGAUUGUUUCAUUAAA